This is a small nuclear RNA of Mustela putorius furo (domestic ferret), 105 nucleotides long. NCBI's taxonomy places the organism in Eukaryota, Metazoa, Chordata, Mammalia, Carnivora, Mustelidae. The record is from Ensembl.
GUAGUCACUUGGGCAACACAUACUAAAAUUGGAACAAUACAGAGAAGAUUAGCGUGGCCCCUGCAUGAGGAUGACAAGCUAUUAAGUUAAGUGCAUAAAUACUUU